Molecule: transfer RNA, 66 nt
Filed under: Anterhynchium abdominale
Lineage: Eukaryota; Metazoa; Arthropoda; Insecta; Hymenoptera; Vespidae
Description: tRNA-Leu
Source: RNAcentral
UAUAAUAUGGCAGAUUAGUGCUUUGGUUUUAAACACCAACUAUAAAGAUAUUAUCUUUUAUUAUAA